CUGAAACCAUGCGCCUACAAGCGGUCAGAGCCCCGAGAUGGGGUGAUGGCGUACCUUUUGUAUAAUGGGUCAGCGACUUAGUCUGGCGAGCAAGCUUAAACCGGUAGGUGUAGGCGCAGCGAAAGCGAGUCUGAACAGGGCGUUCAGUUCGUCGGAUUAGACCCGAAACCGAGUGAUCUAGCCAUGAGCAGGUUGAAGGUGCAGUAACAUGCACUGGAGGACCGAACGGGUGCCUGUUGAAAAAGGCUCCGAUGACUUGUGGUUAGGGGUGAAAGGCCAAUCAAACUCGGAAAUAGCUGGUUCUCCGCGAAAGCUAUUUAGGUAGCGCCUCGAAUGAAUACCGUGGGGGGUAGAGCACUGGAUGGGCUAGGGGGACUUACCGUCUUACCAAACCUAACCAAACUCCGAAUACCCACGAGUACUGUUCGGGAGACACACGGCGGGUGCUAACGUCCGUCGUGGAGAGGGAAACAACCCUGACCGACAGCUAAGGUCCCCAAGUCAUGGCUAAGUGGGAAAGGAUGUAGG
This 528-nucleotide ribosomal RNA is filed under the name Cylindrospermopsis raciborskii CS-506_A. RNAcentral's name for it is "partial 23S ribosomal RNA". It matches the Rfam family "Bacterial large subunit ribosomal RNA", at positions 550 to 1079 of the family's 2925-position model. Lineage: Bacteria; Bacillati; Cyanobacteriota; Cyanophyceae; Nostocales; Aphanizomenonaceae. The record is from RNAcentral.